UACGAAGGGGGCUAGCGUUGCUCGGAAUCACUGGGCGUAAAGCGCACGUAGGCGGGUCGUUAAGUCAGGGGUGAAUCCCGGAGCUCAACUCCGGAACUGCCUUUGAUACUGGCGAUCUUGAGUUCGAGAGAGGUGAGUGGAACUGCGAGUGUAGAGGUGAAAUUCGUAGAUAUUCGCAAGAACACCAGUGGCGAAGGCGGCUCACUGGCCCGAUACUGACGCUGAGGCACGAAAGCGAUGGGGAGCAAACAGGGAU
Molecule: ribosomal RNA, 256 nt
Filed under: uncultured bacterium
Lineage: Bacteria
Description: partial 16S ribosomal RNA
Rfam family: Bacterial small subunit ribosomal RNA
Source: RNAcentral